AAAAUAGCUGACAAAAACCGAACCGAAAAUGAAUGUUUUAUUGGAUAUUUGAGAUUUGAAUUGAAGUAGUUUGUACCUACAAUGCAUGAUGGCAAAUAAUUGUGUAUCUAAAUAUUCCAUUGUACCAUUCAACAGCUCAUCCAUCGAUGGGCUUGUGGCAACAUCUCGCACCCUCUCAAAUCUUUGUGGCUUCCCGCUGGCUUAACAUCUGUUGGUAAUAUCUCUGAUCCCCCUCGGUAAAUCCCACCAUUUGAUUGGCUUACUUUUUGCGCAAAUUCCAUGUGCAUUCGAUUCGAGGCGAUCUAAUUGGAUAAGCUGCCAGCCUGCCAGGAGAUCCAUCGCCCAACGCGUCUCGUUGCCCACUCGUUCUGGAACCUCAAAAGGGUGGACUGUGUGGAAAAUUGUUAAUGUGAUUGCACUAAUGGCUCGAAUUAUGGACGCAUUAGGGUAAAUUAAAAUCCGCCUCGGCAAAGCACUCGCACGGCCAGCAAAGUGGACCCUCAAUUGAGUGUCCUGAAAUGGGUUGGGGGGGCAGGGUCUGUAACUGCGAUUGGCACUGGGGGGUUGAGUUAGGGCUACGACUAUGGCUAGGGCUACAAUAAAGUUGUAGUGGCUGCAUUAACAAUGCCAUUGUCGAACUCGGACUCGGACUCGGACGACUCUCAUGGUGUCACCCUGGUGGUCAGGUGCAAAUGUUGCAUGAUUUCGUUUCUCUCCUUUUUUUGAUUUCCUAUUCUGUUUUGAAAGGAUCGAGAGCGGAGGUGGGGCUUGGGGUUGCUGUACGACCCAAAACAGCUGUCAACAUUUUUGUCGAAUGUGGCCCAUGGCGAUGACAAUCGAAUCGGGUGGGGCGUCAAUCGGGUGGUUGAAAUGCCCAAAUGGAGGGAGGAGUGGCAGUGUGGGCUGUGCCCUAAGUGACAAUUAUUUGUGCUGGUUGUUGGUUUAUUUCACUUAAGUAUUGGUUACCGUUCACGAUUGGUUUUGCGUUAAGUGUUUGACUGCUCGGCACCGUGCGCCAAUUACGUGUCCGCUUUCCUGCUUCUCUGUACCGAUUGUUGCAUCAAGGAAGAUUCACUCUGUGCAUAGACAACUCCAAUUGCAAACUUUCAGGUUGUGCCUGCCAUCUGGCAUCUGGUCGCUGGUCUCUGGUCGCUGGUCUCUCAUUCCUGCUUCCGUUCUACGCCCAGCAGCAGACCGUUCCCUAUGCCGUUCGCGGGUGCCUGUCCCUCCAUUAAAACCCAAUUAAUUUCAACGCUCAACUGGGGCGAUAUUUGUUGUGCGGCUGCACAAUCAUCUGUCAAAGCCAGACGCCCUGCCAUGCCCGGCUGGUGACCUUCUUCCACACAUGGGGCGGUGGGGCCGAUGCUGCAACUGCAACUGGGAUUCCUACAACAAAAACAGGAACAACAAAAUAAUCCUUAAUUGUUUGCAUUUGUGUUGCAAUUUAGCUGAAAUCGCGCCUCUUGGCCAAAUUGUCUUUAAAUUGGCAGUUGGCGCUGUGCGCCAUAAAUCCAAGCAGCACCCGACCCGAGAUCCCCACAUUGGGUUCCUUAACUCUCCUUGUACCCCCGUCCCAUAACCCAUCCCCAUGCUCUCAAUGUCUGUUAAUGCUCUAUGCUUGCUGGGUAUAUCGCUUGUGUUGAGCACUGGCAGGAAGGCUAAAGAUCAGCAUUUGCCCAUAAAUGACAACACAAUAAAUUUUCAUAGUAAAAUGCAAAGACCAAAGGUAAAGAGCUCUGAAGUUUUCCUUUUAUAUUCGUUAGUCGCACCUCAGUUCAAUCCGAGACUUUCAAAGAUUGUAGUAACGAAAGAGAAUAUUGGAUAAAUCGGCAAAUAUUUCUAGUCGCUGAGAUUACCAAUGAGCAAAUGGGACAUUUUAUUAACAAAAUUGGUCAUAAUUGUGGCUGCCAAUAAAAAUGCAGUUGGGGGAAAAUAGUUUAUAAAUUCAUAGUUUCGGGCCAGGCAAAAAUGGUGCAUGAACAUUUCUGGAAUAUUAAAAAGAAAUGAUUAAUUAUUUAUUUAUAUAUUUCCGCUGUGUUUCCGUUCAGGAUGUACAUUGCUUGUGGUUCCAAUUUGCCUUCACGAUUAUCUUGAAUAGAAUAUGAGUUAGAAUCUUUUAAAAUUCAUAAAACUCGUCAGGGAUCAUCAACAAAAAUGGGUUUAGCCCAGGGUAUCUUUUGGGUCUUCGAUUUGUUCAGUCUUUUGGAGGAUUUUCUGUGUGCGCUUGCAGGGCAGACGGCGGAAGUAUCGCUUGGGUAGACUGCUGGAGUCACCAGGCUUGGCGUUGCUGUUCCCCCGAUCCGACCCGCUUGUAGUCACCCGUGGGGCAUCGUUGGCGGUCAAUAGCAGUUGAAGCAGUGGCAGUGGCAGGGGCAGAUGCAGCGGCUGCGGCGGCGGUCGCAAAUUAUCAGCAAAUUAGACUUUUCGUCGAAUGAGCCAAGAAACCGAGAAGACUCGAAGUCGGAGUCGGAGUUGGAGCUGCGUCAUUUGGUUUGAUUUGAUUUCAUUUGUUUGCAUGUCUCGUUGUCAUUUCUGGUUGCGUUUCGUUGGCGGCGGCUGUGGCUGUGGCUGUGGCGGCGUCUCCUUUUUGGGGCCAUUUCUCAUCGCUGGGGUUCACGUUUUAUGGGACGCCGCUGGUAAAGUGAUUUCUUCAACGCUUUGUUAGCGCACUGAAUUGAUGCGGCUGUCAUUAGGCGAUUUCGUUUUCGGCCUAAACGGGUCCCAGAGCCCUCUGGAUCCUCUGCCUCUCCACUCUCUUCGCUCUGAGGUCCGUUUGCUAAAUGCGUUUUUAACGUGCUUUUAAUUGUCAGUUCGUUGACGGUUACCCCGCUGUUUCCACUUCAUCCCCUGUACGAUCUACGCCGCGUUCGCCGGUCUCCGUUCUCCACUCUCAGUUCGCUUCUCACUCGCUAAGCGCAAAUUAAAUCAAAUUGAAACUAAUUAACAUAAAUAAAUUUACACAAAAUCCAAUAGCAAUAUGCCUCGUUACAGGCUUUCACACUUUACGCUUCACUGUGCCGAGGCCGAGGCCGAGACCGAGACCGAGGCUGAGUCCAACCAUCCAUCCGUCUAUCCUUCCCUCCUCCUUGCCAUUUGCCGCCGCCGCCUGUGACAUUUACAAGCGACAACUGUCAAAUUGGACAAGUUGCAUUUGCAAAUAAAUAGACGGCCACUGGCAGGGGGCCAUGGGCACUCGUUCAAACGGAAACGGAAACUGACGAGCCACGAAUCCCAGAGACUUUUGCCACACACACAGGCACACACACAGGCACACACACUCUACGUCCCACAGGGGGUGCUGUGCUGUUCCCCUGCUGAAAUGGAAAGGGCUGCGGUGCGGUGUGCUGCUGUGCUGAGCUGUGCCCUCCUCCAUGUUAGCCGUGCUUCGACGCUUGCGCUUAAAGUUUUUAGGCGCUAUGAAAUUAAUUGGAUUUGCCUGCGGUCGUCCCUGCUGCUGCUGCUGCUGCUCUUCUCUCCUCUUUCGGUACUAUCUUCGACCACAGUGGGACAAGCAACGCUGCUUUGAUACUUAUGCCAAAAGUCUGGCAAAAUUAAUGAAUGAGGAGAUCACUUCCCCUUACUUAGAGUUAAGUUAAAGAACCGGCAUUCGGUGGACUGUUUACACUUUAACAAUUUUCUCUUUUAUUAUUUAAACUGCCAUAAGAGAAACCCAUGUAAAUAUUGAAUGGAUUUGGUAAUACAAAAUGAGCUGUCAAUGUAUAUCUAAUGCGUAUAAUUUCUUAAUGGGCUUCUCUCACAUUCUACGUCACAGACCAGUCCAGUCCAAUUCGGUUGUGCUCUAAACUGCGCUCGGCCAAGCGGCGUAUGCGCAAUGUAACCCAGCCACCUAGGGCCCCAAACAGACCCCCAAAGACAGCCCCACACUCUCUGGUGGUAGCCAGUUGCCAGCUCAGUUAUUUACUGCUUUAUUUGCGGUCUUGUCAAAGCAAUCAACACAGUCAGAGCGUGUCCUGUGCCGGAGUGUCGGAGGUGGUGGAUUUUAUUUACUUGUCUGUCGAGUCCUGCUCCCUGCUCCCUGCUCCCUGCUCCUUGCUGCCUGCUCCCUGUUCACUCGUUGGCUACGAGUUUAUUUGUAGAAUGAUUUUUCAAUAAUUUAUGUAUGAC
RNAcentral lists this long non-coding RNA (4125 nucleotides) under Drosophila guanche. Lineage: Eukaryota; Metazoa; Arthropoda; Insecta; Diptera; Drosophilidae. The record is from RNAcentral.